CGGCGAGUGAAGCGGCAACAGCUCAAAUUUGAAAUCUGGCCCUCGGGUCCGAAUUGUAAUUUGUAGAGGAUGAUUUUGGUGCGGUAUCUUCCGAGUUCCUUGGAACAGGACGCCUUAGAGGGUGAGAGCCCCGUACGGUUGAAUGCCUAGCCUCUGUAAAUCUCCUUCGACGAGUCGAGUAGUUUGGGAAUGCUGCUCUAAAUGGGAGGUAAAUUUCUUCUAAAGCUAAAUAUUGGCCAGAGACCGAUAGCGCACAAGUAGAGUGAUCGAAAGAUGAAAAGCACUUUGAAAAGAGGGUUAAAUAGCACGUGAAAUUGUUGAAAGGGAAGGAUUUGUGACCAGACUUUUUCUGGGCGGAUCAUCCGGGGUUCUCUCCGGUGCACUUUGCCCAGUAAAGGCCAGCAUCGAUUUUCGGCGGCGGAUAAAAGCAGUGGGAAUGUGGCUCCCUACGGGGAGUGUUAUAGCCCAUUGUAUAAUACGCUGCUGGGGAUCGAGGUACGCGCUUCUGCAAGGAUGCUGGCGUAAUGGUUAUCAAUCACCCGUCUUGAAACACGGACCAAGGAGUCGAACAUUUAUGCGA
RNAcentral lists this ribosomal RNA (580 nucleotides) under Pestalotiopsis sp. RNAcentral describes it as "LSU rRNA". It matches the Rfam family "Eukaryotic large subunit ribosomal RNA", at positions 87 to 689 of the family's 3401-position model. Lineage: Eukaryota; Fungi; Ascomycota; Sordariomycetes; Amphisphaeriales; Sporocadaceae. The record is from RNAcentral.